This 253-nucleotide ribosomal RNA is filed under the name uncultured bacterium. RNAcentral describes it as "partial 16S ribosomal RNA". It matches the Rfam family "Bacterial small subunit ribosomal RNA", at positions 524 to 776 of the family's 1533-position model. The record is from RNAcentral.
UACGUAGGGGGCAAGCGUUGUCCGGAUUUAUUGGGCGUAAAGCGCGUGUAGGCGGCUAGAUAGGUCCGCUGUGAAAACUUGAGGCUCAACCUCAAGAGGUCGGUGGAAACCAUCUAGCUAGAGUCCGGAAGAGGAGAGUGGAAUUCCUGGUGUAGCGGUGAAAUGCGCAGAUAUCAGGAAGAACACCCGUGGCGAAGGCGGCUCCCUGGGACGGUACUGACGCUGAGACGCGAAAGCGUGGGGAGCGAACAGG